AUUGAACGCUGGCGGCAGGCCUAACACAUGCAAGUCGGACGGUAGCACAGAGAGCUUGCUCUUGGGUGACGAGUGGCGGACGGGUGAGUAAUGUCUGGGGAUCUGCCCGAUAGAGGGGGAUAACCACUGGAAACGGUGGCUAAUACCGCAUAACGUCGCAAGACCAAAGAGGGGGACCUUCGGGCCUCUCACUAUCGGAUGAACCCAGAUGGGAUUAGCUAGUAGGCGGGGUAAUGGCCCACCUAGGCGACGAUCCCUAGCUGGUCUGAGAGGAUGACCGGCCACACUGGAACUGAGACACGGUCCAGACUCCUACGGGAGGCAGCAGUGGGGAAUAUUGCACAAUGGGCGCAAGCCUGAUGCAGCCAUGCCGCGUGUAUGAAGAAGGCCUUCGGGUUGUAAAGUACUUUCAGCGGGGAGGAAGGCGGUGCGGUUAAUAACCGUACCGAUUGACGUUACCCGCAGAAGAAGCACCGGCUAACUCCGUGCCAGCAGCCGCCGUAA
RNAcentral lists this ribosomal RNA (504 nucleotides) under uncultured bacterium. RNAcentral describes it as "partial 16S ribosomal RNA". It matches the Rfam family "Bacterial small subunit ribosomal RNA", at positions 29 to 523 of the family's 1533-position model. The record is from RNAcentral.